RNAcentral lists this long non-coding RNA (11374 nucleotides) under Brassica rapa (field mustard). RNAcentral describes it as "long non-coding RNA (BRAP_LNC003045)". The record is from RNAcentral. Lineage: Eukaryota; Viridiplantae; Streptophyta; Magnoliopsida; Brassicales; Brassicaceae.
AAGAAUUUAUUUAUGGAGCGAAACUAUUUUGAAGGAGCAGUUCCUAUUCUACCACUCUCCAUCAACAACUUUGCUGCGACAAUCAAUAGAUUCACAGGGAGAAUACCUCUUUCAAUAUGCAAUUGUAGGUCGCUUACGCAUUUAUGGCUUCCUUACAACAACCUCACGGGUCCAAUCCCUCAAUGCUUGAGUAACUUGACGGUUUUGAAUCUCCGGAAGAACAACUUGGAAGGAAGUAUCCUUGAGGCAUUUUAUGUCGGUGCUUCUCUACAAACACUUGAUGUUGGACACAAUCGACUAACCGGGAAACUUCCAAGAUCUCUUCAGAAUUGUUCAUCUCUCGAGUUUCUAGCUGUUGACCACAACAUAAUCAAAGACAAGUUUCCUUUUUGGCUCAAGGCUUUACCAAAUUUGCAAGUCCUUAUCCUCAGUUCAAACAAAUUCUAUGGAUCUAUAUCUCCUCCUGGUCAAGGUCCUCUCGGGUUUCCAGAGCUGCGUAUAUUUGAGAUAGCUGAUAAUAAGUUUACUGGAAGCUUGCAACCGAGAUAAUUUGUCAAUUGGAAAGCAUCGUCCCUUAUGAUGAAUGAAGAUGGUGGUCUAUAUAUCGCACGGGAACUCAUUUUAUAAAAAAUAUAUUAUAAUCUAUAAUAUAUAAUUUUAUAUGCCUGAUAAAAAAAUUAAACCAUAUAAAUAAUUAAAUUUAAUUUUGAUGAUUAAAAUAUGAUUUACAAAGUAUUCAAAUAUAUAUAUAUAAAAAAUAUAUAUAUAUAUUUUAUAAACCUUAAUAUUCCCUUUAAUUUUUUAUCAAAACACAUAUUGCAUACAAUUGUGUCUUCAUUCUUUUUAAAUUUUUUCAUACAUUUUUCACAUGAUAGUUAUCUUCAACCACUUUUUGAACAAAAUGCAAUUUUUUUUUUUGCAUGAUAUAUAAUUUUUUUCCUAUUUAAGACAUAAUAUUAAAAUUAUUAGUUUAUAAUUUUAAACAAUUAUAAUUUGUAUGUUGGUAAUUGUUAUUUUGUAUAUUUAUCUACCUGCUUUAUUUAUUGAAAAUGAAUAUUCAGAAAAUUGAAUAUUGUAAUAAAUAUAUGUUGAUUUACGUUAAUAUGACAUGUCUCAUUUAAAAUAUUUUUUUUUUAAUUUUUGGGAGAGUUCUCAUAAAAUACCAACACUUAUUAUAUAAACUAACACAUUACUUAAAUAAAACCUAUAUUUUUUAAAGCAAUCCCACUUUGAGGUGAAAAGACACUUUGUUUAGAUGAAAAAUUGCAACUUUGACAUUAUUUUUUUCACCAUUUUAUUAUUAGUAGAUUAGUGAAAAUUUGAUUUGAAAAAUGUAUGGGAGAGACUAUUUAUAGAUUUUUUAAAGUCUAUUUGAAUAGUCACAACCCUUCAAUAUGAAUAGUUGCAUUCUUUUAACACUCACAACUUCUCAUUUUUUAAAAGAUACUAGUGAAUAGUCACAACUUUUAGACUAUUUUUAGAAGGACACAACCUUACAACAUAUAACUUUUAGAAAAGACACAACUCUCUACACAUAUUUUUCAAAAGACACAACCUUUCAACAUAAUUGAAGUUCACAACCUUAGGAAUUAAUUGGAAAAGACACAACCUUACUACAUAGAACUUUUAGAAAAGACACAACCCUUUACACUACUUUUUCAAAAGACACAACCUUUCAACAUAAGUGUAUUCACAACCUUAGAAAUUAAUUGUAAAAGACACAACCUUCCAACAUAGAACUUUUAGAAAAGACACAACCCUUUACACUUCUUUUUCAAAAGAUACAAUCUUUCAACAUAAGUGGACUCACAACCUUUAGAAUUAAUUGGGAUUGCUAUUAUUAGCAGAUAAGAAACUCUUGUGAGAAAGUGUACUGCUAAUGAUGCUCUUAGUGGGCGACACAUGUAGGGUCUUCUGAUGUCUUUCCCAAGUUAUACGUUUGAAAAAUCAAGUAACUUUAGCGCCAUUAAGUUCUCCAAUCAAAAAUAGCGUAGCUCUCUAUCUUUUUCCAAGUCACGUUGUGUGUGGUGACAUAUCUUUAUUUAUACCACCAACCCUCUCUCUCAUUUUUCUUAAACCAAAACAAUUCUUCUUCAAUACUUUUUCAUAAAGACCAUGUCUGAAUCCCAUUUGCAUUUGCAUUUUCUCUCGCUACUUUUGCUCUGUUAUGUCUCCCCUUCAAGCUUCUCCAGUUUAAACAUCGACUAUAGUAGCUAUGUUGCUUGUCGUCCCUAUCAAACUCAAGUUCUCACUGAGUUCAUGAACGAGUUUGAUAGCAGCCACUGCAACCUCAGUGAUCCCUAUAACAGAGUCUGGUGCGAUAACUCUACCGGUGCGGUCACAAUGCUACGACUAAGAGCCUGCCUCAGUGGAAACCUUAAGCCCAACAGUAGCUUAUUCAGGUUACAUCAUCUUCGUUACCUUGACCUCUAUCAAAACAACUUCAUCUCAGCUACACUUCCUUCUGAAUUUGACAAUCUCAACAGGUUAGAGGUCUUAUAUCUUUCCAAUAAUAGCUUUGUAGGCCAAGUUCCUUCCUCAUUUAAUAACCUAAGCCUUCUUUCCUAUUUAGACCUUUCCCAAAAUGAUCUCACCGGUAGUUUCCCACUCUUACGGAAUCUAUCAAAGCUCUCGUUUUUAGACCUUAACAAUAAUCAUUUCUCUGGAACUCUGAAUCCAAACAUUACUAGCCUGUUUGAGUUGUACAACCUCCGUUACCUUGAUCUAAGUUACAACAACUUCAGUUCAUCACUCCCUUCUGAGUUUGGAAAUCUCAACAAACUUGAGAUCUUGGCUCUUCAGUCCAGCGACUUUUUCGGGGAAGUUCCUCCCACAAUUAGUAACUUAACCUCGUUAACAGAAUUAUACCUUGAUGACAACCAGCUCACUGGUAGUUUCCCACUUGUGCAAAAUCUUACCAUGCUCUCCGUUAUAGAAAUCGCUGAUAAUCACUUCUCUGGAACCAUUCCUUCUUCUCUCCUCACUAUGCCUUCCUUAUUAGUUCUCAAACUGCGUGGAAAUAAUCUCACGGGAUCUAUUAAAUUUCCUAACUCCUCUACCCCGUCUAGGCUCGAGUACUUGUACCUUGGGAAAAACCAUUUCGAAGGAAAAAUCAUAGAGCCUAUCUCAAAGCUCAUCAACCUCAAGCUUCUUGACCUUUCUUUGCUAAACACAAGUUACCCGAUUGACUUAAACCUCUUCUCCUCUCUUGAAUCUUUGUUGCACCUUGAUCUUUCUGGUAACAGUAUAUCUCCAGCCAGUUUAGAUUCAAAGUCAGACAUCCCAAUAAACCUGGAGAUUUUGUGGUUACAAGGCUGCGGCAUCAAAGAGUUCCCAAAUAUCUUAAAGAUCCUUGAGAAGUUGGAGUAUAUAGACAUUUCGGGAAAUAUAAUCAAAGGAAAAGUCCCCGAGUGGCUAUGGAAGCUUCCUCGUCUAAACACCGUGUUUUUAACAAAUAACUCGUUUAAUGGUUUGGAAGGUCCAGUGGAUGUUUUGGUAAAUUCAUCUGUGAAGAAUUUAUUACUAGGGCAGAACCAUUUUGAAGGAACAAUUCCUCUCCUACCACUCUCUAUCAACGUCUUCUCUGCGUCAGGCAAUAGAUUCACAGGGAGCAUACCUCUUUCAAUCUGCAACUAUAGAUCUCUCACGCAAUUGAAGAUAGGUUACAACAACCUCACGGGUACAAUCCCUCAAUGCUUGAGUAACUUUACGUUUGUGAAUCUUCGGAAGAACAACUUGGAAGGGAGUAUUCCUGACGCCUUUCAUAUCAGUUCUUCUCUAAAGACACUUGACGUUGGACACAAUCUACUCACCGGGAAACUUCCAAGAUCUCUUCAAAAUUGCUCAUCUCUAGAGUUUCUGGUUGUUGACCACAACAGAAUCAAAGACAAGUUUCCUUUUUGGCUCAAGUCUUUAUCAAAUUUGGAAGUACUUAUCCUCAGUUCUAACAAGUUAUAUGGAUCUAUAUCUCUUCCUGGUCAAGGUCCUCUCGGGUUUCCAGAGUUACGUAUAUUUGAGAUAUCUGAUAAUAAGUUUACUGGAAGCUUGCCACCAAGAUAUUUUGAGAACUGGAAAGCGUCGUCACUUAUGAUGAACGAAGAUGGUGGUCUGUAUAUGGUAUACACAAAGGCUACUUCGGGGAGGCUGUCCUAUUUCAAUAUAGAAGCUAUAGAUUUGAAAUACAAAGGUCUAUCAAUGGAGCAAGGGAGGGUCCUUACCUCAUACGCCACUAUUGAUCUUUCUGGGAAUAGAAUUGAAGGACAGAUUCCUGAAUCAAUUGGUCUUUUGAAAGCAUUGAUUGCACUCAACUUAUCAAACAACGCCUUCACAGGCCAUAUUCCUCUGUCUCUCUCCAAUCUUGGCAAGCUCGAGUCACUAGACCUAUCAAGCAACCAACUCUCAGGGACUAUUCCUAAUGGAAUCGGGAGCCUCUCUUUUUUGGAGUACAUAAAUGUGUCUCACAACCAACUCAAGGGAGAAAUACCACAAGGAACACAGAUUACCGGCCAACCUAAGUCUUCAUUUGAAGGGAAUGCAGGGCUUUGUGGUCUUCCUCUCCAGGAAACUUGCUUUGGGACUAUUGCGCCACCAACACAGCAACCCAAGGAAGAAGAAGAAGGAGAAGAGGAAGAAGUGUUGAACUGGAAAAGCGUGGCAAUAGGGUAUGGAACUGGAGUGUUGCUUGGACUUGCAAUAGCACACCUCAUUGCAACAUAUAAACCGGAGUGGCUCGUUAAGAUAAUUGGUCCGAACAAGCGCAGAAGCCUUUAGGAGUGUUUUUAGUUUGAGUAUGAUAUGAACCUUCAAUGUAUGUCAAGUGGUUGAUGUGAUUCCUCUUGUAUGGAAGCAUCUCUUUAUGUUUGUUGUAUCAUUGUCUGAUGCUUUGUUUCUAUUUCGUUUUCUAUAAAAUAAGAAGGGUGAACGUUUUGUAGUCAAUUUCAUGUGCAUCUCUCUUUUUUUUCCUCUACUGAGUAAAAUGGCAGACGGAAGGAAGAUGGUAAAAGGGGGUCAUAUUGGGAUUUAGUAGUAUUCAAUAAGAAGAAGCCAAUAAACUGUUGAGACCUAAUGGGAUAGAGACAACUAAUAUAUUAAAUGGCCGUUUUGUAUAGAAAGCUUUGUGAUUAUGUCACUUAUUAAUUUGAAGUUGCCUGUAAGAAAAUGAUUGCUGUAGAAAGAAAUUUGAGAAAGUUUCAGAUCAGAGAGAUUGUCAGAACAGGAAAGGUAGUGGAUUGUUGGACUAUAUGACUUUCUGAAAAUCAUGUUAUCAUCCAGUUUCUGCUUUCUACUACAUCUUUGAGUGGACAUAAACACAUAGAUCUCCUGGACUUUCCUUAACUUUUGGAAUAUGGAAUGAUGAUUUUUAAUAACAGAUAGCACUGAGAAGGGAAAAGAUGGGUGCUACUGCUCCAUUUUGGCGAUUCUCAGCAGCUUCCUAUCCAGAUCUCAAGGAGCAAGCACCUGGUCAGUGUGAGAGAGAUAAGAACAAUGCCUGAAUGUUGUAUCCCCUGGUCUCACAUAGUAUUUUUUACUGACACACUGACCAAUCUUCUUUUUCUAUUUUUUUUUGGUUUAGAGUUUGGCUGUAGGACAUGCUGAAACAGAGGGAAUUUCACGCAUUACAACAGUUGUUCCUGCGACAGAUGAAUCAGUCAGCAAAUUGGUGCAGCAACUUUACAAACUCAUAGAUGUGCAUGAGGUUAGGAUAAAAAAAAAAUCAAUUGUCUUUAGGAUUAUAUAUAACAGUUUGAAUGCUCUUGUUGACUCUACCCUUUGCUCUUUUACCUUUUGCUAUUUCUGUUAACUGCAGGUCCAUGCUCUUACUCAUAUGCCAUUUGCUGAAAGAGAACUGAUGCUGAUUAAGAUUGCUGUGAACGCUGCUGCGAGAAGAGAUGUCCUGGACAUUGCUAGUAUUUUCAGGGCUAAAGCUGUUGACGUUUCCGACCAUACAAUUACUUUGCAGGUAGAUUGCAUUCAUCAUUAACUGGAUUUCUAUUUGAGGUGUAGUUGCACAUCACAUGAAAUAUCUUUAUCCAUUGGAGUACCGUUUGACAUAAUCUAUGAAGCAGACUUCAGUUUUCCAUCCGAAUCCCUUUCUCCCUUAGUUUUUUUUUGGUAUUUGUUGCUGAAAAUUGUUUGCUGUGGAAUUACCUUACUGGGGAUCUUGACAAGAUGGUUGCACUACAAAGGUUGUUGGAGCCCUACGGUAUAUGCGAGGUUAGUUUUCAUCUCUUACUAGAUGUUAUAAUCUUGGCGCUAAUAAAUAAGUCUGGUAAAAUAAAAAACCAAAGCCUGACACAUUUUUCUAAUGUCUUCUGAACAAAAAUCAGUUUGAGAAGUGUUGUUGUUACUUGUAUUAUAACUUGUACAUCGUGUUGAUCUUUACUAAUGAACAAUCAAUCAAUCACAGGUUGCAAGAACAGGGCGUGUGGCGUUGGCUCGUGAAUCAGGAGUGGACUCUAAGUAUCUUCGUGGAUACUCUUUUCCCUUAACAGGUUAACAAGUCAAUCGCAGAGUUGGAUACAAAACCUGUAUCCAUGGAACAGAUUUUUGAAGAUAAAAGUUUCAUCAAAUAUUUUGCAAGCCAACCAAAGUCUAGCCAGAGAGAGACUGUGUGUAGAUAUGUUUGGGACUUUGUUUAUUUUAUAAUUAGCAGAUUUUUGAAUUUUGUGACUUCAUUUCAGUUCAUUUAUUUUGAGAAUAAACUGUUGUUGGGAUUAAUAUUACUGUGAUGAUAUCUAACAGCAUAGUUUCUUAGUGGGCAAUUUUUUCAAAUAGUCAUUGUUAAAUUUUGGUCACCAAAAUAGCUCUGAAAAAAAAAAUCAAAUCACUAUUUUUUAUUUUGAAAAUUUUAAUUUUAAUUUGAAACCCAAUCUUCUAAACUCCAUUUUUAACUCUGAACUUUAAAUUUUAACGGGCAAUUGUCAAUAAUAGCACAUUUUGAAGUUUAUGUCUCAAAAAUAGCACUAGAAGGAGAAAGUCACAAAAAUGACAUUCAUUAAAGGGUAAAAUGUCCAUAAUAUCCUUGGUUUAAAUUAAAUAAACAAACAAAAAUAAAAAAAAAAUAAAUAAAAAAUAAAAAAUAAAAAUAAAUUUUUUUAUAGUUUCAGAUUAUAUGUUUUCAGAUUCGAAAUUUUUAUAAUUUUUUUUUUAAAAAAAAUUUUGAAUUUUUUUGAAUUUUUUUUCAAAUUUUAUUUUUAUAGUUUAAAAAUAAUUUUUGAAACUGUUUUAAAAAUUUUUAUUUUUUAUUUUAGUAUUUGUUUUUUAUAAAAUUUUAAACCCUAAUUCCAAAACCCCACCCCCUUAACUCUAAACCUUAAGGUUUGGAUUAAUUAACCCAAGGGGUAGAAGUGUAUAUUUACCUCUUUAAUGAAACCUAUUUUUGUGACUUUGAACUUUGAGUGCUACUUUGGGAACAAAAACUUGGUUUGAUGAUAUCCUAGUCUUUUUCUCAAUUCUAAAUUUAGAUUAAUUAACUCUAAGGAUAUGAAUGUAUAUUUAUUUUUUAAUAAAAUAUUUUUAGUUAUUUUCUUCUUUUAAGUGCUAUUUUUAUUUAAAAAAAAACUAAAAAACGUUGUUUUAUGGAGUUUUUCUUUCUUAAUUCCUACAGAAAAAUUACGAGAGAAAAGAAUAACUACAGAAAAAUCUCACCAGAAUACUUGGACUCUUAAAUCAUGUCAUCUUUCUAUUGGUACAAUUAUUUUUAAAGUAUUUACGUAACUAAAUCAUUUUGGAAUAUCAAUAUACUAAAGUUCAGAAAUUCAUUUGGAAAAUAUCCUUUAGUAAUGAUGCUUAAAUUAGGGCUUGGCACAAGGUGGUUACUCGCUAUUUUAGUUGCACUUGGGAUUUGACUUUCUUUGUACGAGUGAUAAAAUUUUCGACUUGUACUUAAUUUGUUAAAAAUGAAUACUUGAUCAAAAAUGAAUUACUUGCAAGUUAUUUACCUGGCUUUAUUAUUUAUUAUUUACAAGCACUUGUGAACUAUUUACAAGUUUUUUCGAGUAUUUAAGAACUACUUGCUAAAUAAUAAUCUAUUAGAAAUAGACAUGAAAGUUUGUUUUAUUUAUUCUACUUAACAUAACAUCUUAAUUACUUUAAACGAAAUAUUUGUUCAUAUAUAAAGAAGAAAAAAAAAAUAUAUAUGAAUAUAUCAAUAUAUAAACAUUGCAUAAUUUUUAUGAUGACAAAAAUGUCUUUUCUAAACAAGUAACAUAUAAUAACAAGUCAUGUAGUUAAGUUUUUAAUACUUGUUACUAUAUAAUACUUAACGAGAUGAUGAGGAAUAUUUAAAAAUCUUGAUCAAGACAUAUAUGAAAUAAGUAAUAAGUAUAAGAAGAGUAAUGAGUGUUUGUGUCCAAUUCUAAAUACAACUAAAAGAAAAGACAAAUAUAAAUAAGUAUUUAAUAGAUCAUAUAACAAAUAGUAAUGAGGCAAGUAACGAAUCAAGUACUAAAAAUAAUAAUGAUACUUGAUACUUGACUUGGUUUUGGAAGUAAUAAAAAUUGUCGACUUGUUACUUGCUUUGGCAACACCGAAUACUUGAAUUUUUAAGGCGGGUACGAGUCAAGUAACAAAUUUAAGUAAUGAUGUUCAACCCUAGAUUUAAUGACUUAAAAGCACAGAUGGGACUGAUUUUGUAAAUGUUUUGGAUUGGAGAGUCAAAUUAAAGCAUUGACUGAACCGGUUAUGUUAUUGAUAAUAUGUCCAUACUUAUCUUCUAGUAAGAAAUUUGAUUUGCUUACGGUAUUAAAUUAUGUAUUUAGAAAAAUAAAACAGACCCAACGGGACUUAGUGUCUCUUCGGAACAGUAAAAAUAUAUUAAAUUCGGCUCCAAAGCAGAACAAAUCCCACAAAUAUACAAAGUAACGUCACUGGUUCCACCAGCAACACCAUAUAGACCACUGUAAUCGAUUUGCAAUACCACAGAAAGAUACAUACAUAUCUAUGACUACAAAAUUAGUUCGCCUUGGAAACUGUUACGCGAAUACAAGGCAUAAGAGAAUCAUAUAUCUACACAAAAUUGGUGAAUUCAUAACAGAGCAACUAUACAAUAAUGUUUAUGCUUUACUCCAAAUCUAAAGCUUUCCUCAUCUUAGAGACUCUCAAUAUUCUUGUAUUUAAGGCUCACACGACUCAGUCCACACCAAACCUCCAGGAAUCUCGAAAAACACCAAAGGAGAUAGAAGAAUCAAUAAAGAUGUUUACAACCCAAAAAAAAGAAUCACAAAGAUGUACCCGCUAAUUCACACGACAAUACAACAGACAGACACCAAAAAACCUAGUGAACAAGUCUCUUGUGAUUAUAAUAUUGGAAACAAUAAAGUAAGAGAGAGAGGGCGAUAAAAAGAACAGAAAGUUGAGCGACGUCUCUUGUACGUGGAACUUUAAGGAAAAGAUGAGAGACUCUUUGUAAUGUGUUUCAUUGUUUAUUGGUUCAUAUUCUCUAUGUUUUUUUUUGUAUCAAAUCUUAUAUGUUUAUAUUUAAUUGUAAAGUAAUUACUUAAUAUUAUAUAGAUAAAAACUCUUGUGAGAAGUGUACCGCUAAUGAUGCACACAAGUUAUACGUUUGAAAAAAUCAACUAACUUUAGCGCCAUUAAGUUCUCCAAUCAAAAAUAUAAAAAAGACUUCACGUAGCUCUCUAUCUUUUUCCAAGUCAAGUUGUGUGUGGUUACAUAUCUUUAUUUAAACCACCAACACUCUCUCUCAUUUUUCUUAAACCAAAACAAUUCUCUUCUUCACUACUAAUUCAUAAAGACCAUGUCUGAAUCCCGUUUGCAUUUGCAUUUUCUCUCGCUACUUUUGCUCUGUUAUGUCUCCCCUUCAAGCUUCUUUAACUUAAACAUCGAUUACAGUAGCUAUGUUGCUUGCGGUCCCCAUCAGACUCAAGUUCUCACUGAGUUCAUGAACGAGUUUGAUAGCAGCCAGUGCAACCUCAGUGAUCCCUAUAACGGAGUCUGUGCGAUAACUCGACUGGUGCGGUCACAAUGCUACGACUCCAGGCGUGUCUCAGCGGAACUCUAAAGCCCAAUAGUAGCCUCUUCAGGUUACACCAUCUUCGUUACCUUUGCACUCAUUCAAAACAACUUCAUCUCAGCUACAAUUCCUUCAGAAUUUGGGAAUCUCAGCAGGUUAGAGGCCUUAUCUCUUAGGAAUAAUAGCUUUGUAGGCCAAGUUCCUUCCUCAUUUAACAGCCUAAGCCUUCUUUCCGUUUUAGAACUUUCCCUAAACGAGCUCACUGGUAGUUUCCCACUUGUGAGGAAUCUAACAAAGCUCUCGGCUUUAAGCCUUGCUGCGAAUCAUUUCUAUGGAACUCUGAAUCCUAAGAGUACUAGCCUGUUUGAGUUGCGCCACCUCCGUUACCUUGAUCUAAGUCAAAACAACUUCACCUCAUCACUCCCUUCUGAAUUUGGAAAUCUCAACAGACUAGAGAUCUUGGCUCUUUCCUCCAAUGACUUUUUCGGGCAAGUUCCUCCCACAAUUAGUAACCUAACCUCGUUAGAGGAAUUGAACCUUCACCACAACCAACUCACUGGUAGUUUCUCACUUGUUCAAAACCUAACCAUGCUUUCAGUUAUAGCAAUCAAUCAUAAUCACUUCUCUGGAGCCAUUCCAUCUUCUCUCUUCACCAUGCCUUUCUUAUCAUAUCUCGAUAUGGGAGACAACGAUCUCACUGAUUCUGUUGAAGUUUACAACUCCUCAUCUACCCUGUCUAGGCUCGAGUACUUGUCCCUUGGGAAUAACCAUUUUGAAGGAAAAAUCAUAGAGCCUAUCUCAAAGCUCAUCAGCCUCAAGAUUCUUGACCUUUCUUUCCUUAACACAAGUUACCCGAUUGAUGUAAGCCUCUUCUCCUCGCUGAAAUAUUUGGUGGACCUUGAUCUUUCCGGUAAUAGUAUAUCUCCGGCCAGUUUAGGUUCAAAUUUAGACAUCCCAAUAAACCUGGAGAUUUUGUUGUUACGAGGUUGCGGCAUCAAAGAGUUCCCAAAUAUCUUAAAGAUCCUUGAGAAGUUGGAGAAUAUAGACUUGUCCGACAACAUAAUCAAAGGCGAGGUCCCGGAGUGGUUAUGGAAGCUUCCUCGUCUAAACACAGUGUUUCUUUCAAAUAAUUCUUUUAAUGGUUUGGAAGGUCCAGUGGAUGUUUUGGUAAAUUCAUCUGUGAAGAAUUUAUUUAUGGAGCGAAACUAUUUUAAAGGAGCAGUUCCUAUUCUACCACUCUCCAUCAACAACUUUGCUGCGACAAUCAAUAGAUUCACAGGGAGCAUACCUCUUUCAAUCUGCAAUUGUAGGUCGCUUACGCAUUUAUGGCUUCCUUACAACAACCUCACGGGUCCAAUCCCUCAAUGCUUGAGUAACUUGACGGUUUUGAAUCUCCGGAAGAAC